Molecule: ribosomal RNA, 445 nt
Filed under: uncultured bacterium
Lineage: Bacteria
Description: partial 16S ribosomal RNA
Rfam family: Bacterial small subunit ribosomal RNA
Source: RNAcentral
GUGAGGAAUAUUGCGCAAUGGAGGCAACUCUGACGCAGCCAUGUCGCGUGCAGGAAGAAGGCGCUACGCGUUGUAAACUGCUUUUAACCGGGAAGAAACCCCAGGACGUGUCCUGGGUUGACGGUACCGGAGGAAUAAGCACCGGCUAACUUCGUGCCAGCAGCCGCGGUAAUACGAAGGGUGCAAGCGUUAUCCGGAUUCAUUGGGUUUAAAGGGUGCGUAGGCGGAGCGUUAAGUCAGUGGUGAAAUCCUGCAGCUUAACUGUAGACUUGCCAUUGAUACUGGCGCUCUUGAGUGGGCUGGAAGUGGGCGGAAUGUGCCGUGUAGCGGUGAAAUGCUUAGAUAUGGCACAGAACACCAAUUGCGAAGGCAGCUCACUAAGGCGAUACUGACGCUGAGGCACGAAAGCGUGGGGAUCGAACAGGAUUAGAAACCCUUGUAGUCC